Molecule: ribosomal RNA, 444 nt
Filed under: uncultured bacterium
Lineage: Bacteria
Description: SSU rRNA
Rfam family: Bacterial small subunit ribosomal RNA
Source: RNAcentral
AGAGCGAACGCUGGCGGCAGGCUUAACACAUGCAAGUCGAGCGGAUGUAGCAAUACAUCAGCGGCAGACGGGAGAGGAACACGUGGGAACGCGCCCUUUGGUUCGGAAUAACUCAGGGAAACUUGAGCUAAUACCGGAUAAGCCCUUACGGGGAAAGAUUUAUCGCCAAAGGAACGGCCCGCGUCCGAUUAGCUAGUUGGUGAGGUAAUGGCUCACCAAGGCGACGAUCGGUAGCUGGUCUGAGAGGAUGACCAGCCUCACUGGGACUGAGACACGGCCCAGACUCCUACGGGAGGCAGCAGUGGGAAUAUUGGACAAUGGGCGCAAGCCUGAUCCAGCCAUGCCGCGUGAGUGAUGAAGGCCUUAGGGUUGUAAAGCUCUUUAGCAGGGAAGAUAAUGACGGUACCUGCAGAAAAGCCCGGCUAACUUCGUGCCAGCAGCCGC